GGGGAUGCCUCAGUACGGCGAGUGAGCGGCAAGAGCUCAAAUUUGAAAGCUGGCUCCUUCGGAGUCCGCAUUGUAAUUUGCAGAGGAUGCUUUGGGUGCGGCCCCCGUCUAAGUGCCCUGGAACGGGCCGUCAGAGAGGGUGAGAAUCCCGUCUUGGGCGGGGUGUCCGUGCCCGUGUAAAGCUCCUUCGACGAGUCGAGUUGUUUGGGAAUGCAGCUCUAAAUGGGUGGUAAAUUUCAUCUAAAGCUAA
Molecule: ribosomal RNA, 250 nt
Filed under: Aspergillus niger
Lineage: Eukaryota; Fungi; Ascomycota; Eurotiomycetes; Eurotiales; Aspergillaceae
Description: partial large subunit ribosomal RNA
Rfam family: Eukaryotic large subunit ribosomal RNA
Source: RNAcentral